Molecule: long non-coding RNA, 595 nt
Organism: Galeopterus variegatus (Sunda flying lemur)
Lineage: Eukaryota; Metazoa; Chordata; Mammalia; Dermoptera; Cynocephalidae
Exons: 2
Source: RefSeq, a predicted model, not a curated record
UAUCCCAUUUUACAGUUGAGGAAACUGAGGCAUGAAGUUGUUAAGCAACUUGCCAAGAACACACAGCUUUGAAUCCAGGCUGUCUGCACCCAGAGCCCAUGUCUCAAUCACUGGGCACUGAGCAGGCACCAUAAAACUUCCUGUUUGCUCCCCUUCCCCACAUAACUGGUGGGGAAGACUGCAGGGUGGCUCAGAGGUAGUGCCAGGCUGGACCCUGGGGGGACUGACUCCUAGAGCUGAUGACUCCCCCACCCUGUGCCUCCAGCAUCCAGAUGGUCCACCAUUGCACCAUCCACGGGAACACGGAGGAGCUGCGGCAGAUGGCAGCCAGCCGCGAGGUGCCCCGGCCACUCUCCACCCUGCCCAUGUUCAACGUGCGCACCGGCGAGCGGCUGCCUCCCCGCGUGGACAGUGCCCAGGUGCCCCUCAUCCUGGACCAGCACUGAGGGCCUGGCCAGAGAGCAACCACAACUCUUGGCCACAUCCCACCUGCUGAAUCCAGCUCCUGGCCUAGCUGAUCCCCAAAGAGAUGGGGCAGGGUAGGGUGAGGGUGUUUGGAGCCAGGACCCACAGAAUAAACACCUGCCACUCUGCA